This 3335-nucleotide long non-coding RNA is filed under the name Canis lupus familiaris (dog). RNAcentral's name for it is "lncRNA (ENSCAFG00845016190.1)". The record is from RNAcentral. Lineage: Eukaryota; Metazoa; Chordata; Mammalia; Carnivora; Canidae.
UUUUUUUGUUUUUUAUGUCUGUAUUUCUAGAAUGUGUUAGCUUGUACAAAUGAAUUAGACUCUUUUCAAGAUGCUUAAAAUAUACUUUUAAAGUGUCAAAAAAAUUAUCUGAAAUGUUUUACAACUAGCAAACACACAUUCUAGGUCUCCUUUAUAUUCUUUAUAUUCUGAACAUAUUAUGUAAGAAUGGAUAAUAUUUUGUCUCGGUUUUUCAGAGAUACCAUUUUUCCCCUUUAUUCUUUAAUAGAUUAGUUUCCUCAGAAAGAAAUGUUUUUAAAGUCUUCAUUGAUAUGUUACUCAGAGCAAAUCUUCCAAAUAUAUAAUUUAGACCAAAGUCAAAUCCCUUUUUAUACUUAUUAAAAUAAUUUUUAAAAAGAAAAACAGUGCAUUUUAACCUAAAACAAAUCUUUUAUUAUCAACAUUCAGCAUCACAAACAUUCCUUGGAAACCAUCUAGCUUUGUAUAUUAGAUCAAAAAAAUUUUAGUCAUUUCAUUUCUUUUUACAAAUCAAGCACUUUUUUAAAUGCCCCACACCUCUAUUAAAUGACCACGUGACAAUUUAUACUUCCCUCUUAACAGACUGAGGGAUGUUCAUAUCUGCUUCUAUGAAAUAGGCUAAAAUGCUUUCUGCAUCAUCAUAAUCUGCAAUCAUACAACAAAACCCCUUUUACUUAUAGAUACAUGUCACAGUUACGAACAGAAACAAUUUUCACUAUCUCACCUCCUACCGUACAGCAAACAUGAUUUUUAAAUAUCGAUUCUCUAUGUACAGAUCUCGUAACAUUUUCUGUCUACUCAAUUGUGGUGUAAACUCUCCUCCAGACAGACAGACAGACAGACAGACACUGAGAUUACAGAGCUGGCUCCUGGGGGCCAUCUGCCCCGACAAGCUAUUCCCCAGCAUCCCUGGCAGUCUUAAGCAGACAGAAUGUGAAACCUGCCAACGCAGCUACCUACCACCCUACCCAGAUUAGCAAAAGAAUAAGCAUCUCCCAUCCACUGGUCUGGCCACCAGCUUCAAAGGUCACAUCUGCCCGGACCCCUGUCUAUCACCCAGCGCAUCUGUAGAAUUGUACUACUUUAUCCUCUGUCAUUCAUUCUGCCUCUGAAACCACCAGUAUUUCUCAAUGAGUGUAAAGUAGUCCAUGCCAUCAUGCUGUCUGUACAUUCUUCAUAUAGGAACCUCAUCAAUAUUUUCAGUGAUAAUGACAGAGUAAAUCUUUAGGUGCAUGUGGUGCAGAGGGGGAAAAAAUAAACCAAGAGCUUAAGAAGGGAUAGAAUAAAUGGUACAUUAUGUCUACUACAUUCAGAGAUAAGAAAGAGGAGGAAGUUUACUAAAGCUUGAGAGGGGCCAGUUACCCACUUCUUCCAGAACUCAAUAAGCUGUCAUUUCCAAUAGUUACGUCUUAACACACUGAUCAUCAGACCAUAAUCCUAGGCAAGCCUCAGUCUUUCCAAUGAAUUUUAUUUUCCAUGUUCCCCCAUAGUCCUGUAGCAUCACACUUCAUGCUCAACUGCUUGCCAUUGCCCCCUGAGCCCAGCACUUCCCACUCAAGACCACACACUCUGAUCAGUCCAUGAGCUAAUCCCACCAGGUACUGAGGCUUACUUAGUGGCUGCUUACCACCACAAAGUGUCCCCGCUGCCCUCAGCUGUAAAUGCUAGGGUAGGUCCCCUACACCAGGUGAUCCUUUGUAUACAGAAAAAAAUAUACUAGAAACUCCAGGUUUUUAAAACUUUUUCAUCCUUUCUUUUUAAAGUUCCAAUUUUAUGACUUUUUAUAAUACACAGUAUUAACACACAUGUUGAAAAUAUUUAAUCAAUUUUUUUUAGGAUUUUAUUUAUUCAUUUGACAGAGAAAACACAAGCAGGGGAGCAAGCAGGCAGAGGGAGUUAGAGAAUCAGGCUCCCCGCUGAGCAGGUAGCCCAAUGUGGGGCUUGAUCCCAAGAUCAUGACCUGGGACCCUGGGAUCAUGACCUGAGCUGAAGGCAGGCGUUUAAAUGACUGAGCCUUACUCAAUUUUUAAAACUGAUUUAGUAUGCUUAAAAAAAAAAAAAAAAAAGUCUGUUUCCCACAAAAGACGCAGAGUUGGGAUGCCUGGGUGAGCAUCUGCCUUCAGCCCAGGGCAUGAUCCUGGGGUCCCGGGAUCCAGUCCCACCAUCAGGCUCCCUGCAGGGAGCCUGCUUCUUUCUUGGCCUGUGUCUCUGCUCCUCUCUCUCUCUCUCUCUUAUGAAUAAAUAAAUAAAAUCUUUUAAAAAAAUAAAAGAUGCAGAGUCUCUCACAGCAUCUCUCACUUUCUACUCUUUGUGGUAUAUAGUGAACAAAAGUUUGUAUAUCCAUUUAAUAAAUAUUUCUUGGGUAUCCACCAUGUCUCAUGCCAUGCUAGGCAAUGACGACAGACAUUUCCUGCCUUUAUGGAGCUAAGAAUGGACCUGUUCAUGGAGCUAAGUAUAUUGCAAGAGUCCAUAAAAUCAAAACCAUAAAUGCAAUCAAGUGUGAAGCUGAGGCUACAGGAAGCUAAGGGGCCAGACUGCAAAAAGGGGUGGGGUUGGUGUAGGGAGCAGGAACUGUCUGUAGGUAGGCUGUAUGGAGGUGGGGGUUAGGAAGAACACAGUCACUGAAGCCAGGAACCAGUGGGCAUGUCUCACUCAAGGAACUGACAGCAGCCUCGUAGGGCAGAAACAUACAGUGGAGAAGAACGGUGGCAGCAGACACACAUCCCUGGCCCUACUAGCCAUGUGACUCUGACAACCACUUAGCAUCUGUCAUCUUUAGCCUCUACCACUACCACAUGUGAAUAACAAGAUCUACUGCAGCAGGACUGUCAGGAGGAUUGGAGGAGGUAACUCAUGCAGUGCUCAUCACAGGAACUGGUAGUUGCUGCUGCCACUGCUGUUAUAUAUAAGUCCUUAUGUUCUCAACUAGACUUGAACACCCCUAACACCAGAAUCUUUACCUGAACGAACUUUUACAUGUAGAUUCUCAACAAGUAUUUGCUUCCUCCCAAUUCCUUCAAUGACCUAUGUCAGCAUAAGAAAAUACAGUGGCCCCCCCUCAGCUGCAGUGUCAGUUACCCACAGUCAUCCAUGGUCCAGAAUCCAAAGAUGCUCCUCUGACACACUGCCAGGUUAACAGUAGCCAGGGCUCUAUCACAGCAUCUGCGUCACUCACCUCACGUUGCAGCCCCGUGCAGGCAUUACACCAUCUCACAGCAAGGAGGCUGGGCACAGCACAGGGAGGUAUUUUGAAAGAGACUACAUUCACGUAACUUGUAUUACAAGAUAUUGUUUUAAUUGUUCUACUCUAGUAUUAAUCUUUUACUGUGCCUAAUUUA